UGGGGUGUGGCUCAGUGGUAAGAGCACUUGCCUAGCAUAUGUGAAAUACUGGGUUAGAUCCUCAGCACUACAU
This 73-nucleotide transfer RNA is filed under the name Ictidomys tridecemlineatus (thirteen-lined ground squirrel). Its description in RNAcentral is "Spermophilus tridecemlineatus (thirteen-lined ground squirrel) tRNA". It matches the Rfam family "tRNA". From Rfam's summary of the family: Transfer RNA (tRNA) molecules are approximately 80 nucleotides in length. Their secondary structure includes four short double-helical elements and three loops (D, anti-codon, and T loops). Further hydrogen bonds mediate the characteristic L-shaped molecular structure. tRNAs have two regions of fundamental functional importance: the anti-codon, which is responsible for specific mRNA codon recognition, and the 3' end, to which the tRNAs corresponding amino acid is attached (by aminoacyl-tRNA synthetases). tRNAs cope with the degeneracy of the genetic code in two manners: having more than one tRNA (with a specific anti-codon) for a particular amino acid; and 'wobble' base-pairing, i.e. permitting non-standard base-pairing at the 3rd anti-codon position. The record is from Rfam by way of RNAcentral. Lineage: Eukaryota; Metazoa; Chordata; Mammalia; Rodentia; Sciuridae.